CAGAGAACAUCGCCCUCACGGGUGACUCUCCAACCCUAUGUUAUUAUACCUUUGUUGCUUUGGCGAGCCGCUUCGGCCACCGACUUCGGUUGGUGCGUGCUCGCCAGAGGACCCCAAACUCUUGUUUUAUACAGUAUCUUCUGAGUAACACGAUUAAAUAAAUCA
This 165-nucleotide unclassified non-coding RNA is filed under the name uncultured Chalara. RNAcentral's name for it is "sequence contains ITS1". Lineage: Eukaryota; Fungi; Ascomycota; Leotiomycetes; Helotiales. The record is from RNAcentral.